UACGUAGGGUGCAGGCGUUAAUCGGAAUUACUGGGCGUAAAGCGUGCGCAGGCGGUUUGCUAAGACAGGUGUGAAAUCCCCGGGCUUAACCUGGGAACUGCGCUUGUAACUGGCAAGCUAGAGUGUGGCAGAGGGAUGCAGAAUUCCAGGUGUAGCGGUGAAAUGCGUAGAUAUCUGGAGGAAUACCGGUGGCGAAGGCGGCAUCCUGGACCGGCAUUGACGCUGAGGAGCGAAAGCCAGGGGAGCAAACGGG
Molecule: ribosomal RNA, 253 nt
Filed under: uncultured bacterium
Lineage: Bacteria
Description: partial 16S ribosomal RNA
Rfam family: Bacterial small subunit ribosomal RNA
Source: RNAcentral